Molecule: unclassified non-coding RNA, 242 nt
Filed under: uncultured Ascomycota
Lineage: Eukaryota; Fungi; Ascomycota
Also listed under: 1 other name
Description: sequence contains ITS2
Source: RNAcentral
AACGCACAUUGCGCCCGCUAGUAUUCUGGCGGGCAUGCCUGUUCGAGCGUCAUUUCAACCAUCAAGCCCCAGGCUUGUGUUGGGGACCUGCGGCUGCCGCAGCCCCCUAAAAGCAGUGGCGGUCUCGCUGUCAUACCGAGCGCAGUAGUUUAUCUUCGCUUUGGGCGUGGUGGCGAGUGCCGGCCGUGAAACACUUUUCUAAGGUUGACCUCGGAUCAGGUAGGAAUACCCGCUGAACUUAA